GUCCCCAAAAGGCAACUUGCUCCGAAAGGGUAAGACGCAAAUUGGUAAUCCUGUAGCCAAAGUGUCGGUAUGGAUGUGCCAAUGCCGAA
This is a non-coding RNA of Cyanothece sp. PCC 7425, 89 nucleotides long. NCBI's taxonomy places the organism in Bacteria, Bacillati, Cyanobacteriota, Cyanophyceae, Gomontiellales, Cyanothecaceae. The record is from Rfam.